RNAcentral lists this ribosomal RNA (800 nucleotides) under Bacillus sp. (in: firmicutes). RNAcentral's name for it is "bacterial SSU rRNA". It matches the Rfam family "Bacterial small subunit ribosomal RNA", at positions 90 to 861 of the family's 1533-position model. Lineage: Bacteria; Bacillati; Bacillota; Bacilli; Caryophanales; Bacillaceae. The record is from RNAcentral.
GGUCAGCGGCGGACGGGUGAGUAACACGUGGGUAACCUGCCUGUAAGACUGGGAUAACUCCGGGAAACCGGGGCUAAUACCGGAUGCUUGAUUGAACCGCAUGGUUCAAUUCUUAAAGGGGGCUUUUAACUUCCCGUUUGCUAUGGACCCCCGGCGCCUUUUCUUUUUGGUGAGGUAACGGCUCCCCCAAGGCUCAAUGCGUAGCCGACCUGAAAGGGUGGUCGGCCACCCUGGGACUGAAACACGGCCCAGACUCCUACGGGAGGCUACAGAGGGAAUCUUCCCCAAUGGACAAAAGUCUGACGGGGCAACGCCGGAGGGGUGAUGAAGGUUUUCGGAUCCUAAAACUCUGGUGUUAAGGAAGAACAAGUACCGAUCGAAUAGGGGGGGACCUUGACGGUUCCUAACCCAAAAGCCGCGGGUAACUACGUGCCAACAGCCGCGGUAAUACGUAGGUGGUAAUCGUUGUCCGGAAUUAUUGGGCGUUAAUGGCGCGCAGGCGGGUUCUUAAGUCUGAUGUGAAAUCCCCCGGCUCAACCGGGGAGGGUCAUUGGAAACUGGGGAACUUGAGUGGAGAAGAGGACAGCGGAAUUCCACGUGUAGCGCUGAAAUGCGUAGAGAUGUGGAGGAACAACGGUGGCGAAGGUGGACUCUCUGGUGUGUUACUGACGCUGAGGCACGAAGAGGGGAGGAAGCAACAUCGAUUAGAUACCCUGGUAGUACCACCGCCGUACAACCAUGAGUAGACUAAAUGAUAGAAGGGAUGUGCAUCCCUUUUCUCGUCUGCUUGCUAUAGCGCA